CCUACGGGAGACAGCAGUGAGGAAUAUUGGUCAAUGGACGGGAGUCUGAACCAGCCAAGUCGCGUGAAGGAUGACUGCCCUAUGGGUUGUAAACUUCUUUUAUAUGGGAAUAAAAUUGUCCACGUGUGGAGUUUUGUGUGUACCAGAUGAAUAAGGAUCGGCUAACUCCGUGCCAGCAGCCGCGGUAAUACGGAUGAUCCGAGCGUUAUCCGGAUUUAUUGGGUUUAAAGGGAGCGUAGGUGGAUUGGUAAGUCAGUUGGGAAAGUUUGGGGCUCAACCGUAAAAUUGCAGUUGAAAAUGGCAGUCUUGAGUACAGUAGAGGUGAGCGGAAUUCGGGGUGUAGCGGUGAAAUGCGUAGAUAUCACGAAGAACUCCGAUUGCGAAGGCAGUUCACUGGAUUGUAACUGACGCUGAGGCUCGAAAGUGUGGGUAUCAAACAGGAUUAGAUACCCGUGUAGUC
RNAcentral lists this ribosomal RNA (460 nucleotides) under uncultured bacterium. RNAcentral's name for it is "partial 16S ribosomal RNA". It matches the Rfam family "Bacterial small subunit ribosomal RNA", at positions 338 to 795 of the family's 1533-position model. The record is from RNAcentral.